Molecule: unclassified non-coding RNA, 368 nt
Filed under: uncultured fungus
Lineage: Eukaryota; Fungi
Description: partial internal transcribed spacer 1
Source: RNAcentral
CAUUAGCACUGCGAACCAGGAAAAAUAAAUAAUCAGUAGAUACAAUCCAUUGUCUAUGGUUUUCCCGACAUCCGCACCGUUAAAGAUUCCGAAUGAUGCGACAUAUUCAUAAAGUGAGCCAAAUCUGACUACACCAUCAAUAUGGGUCAAGGAAUAUCCGACCAUGACUAACGGGCCCACAAUACGAUAAUAAGAAGAUGAGCCUUCCGUCCCUAAAUCGCCAAGUCGUGUCGCGAUAUAAGGAAAUGCAAUAAUUACCCCAACCAAAAACAGGGUUAAUGAGACCAGCGCCAGUGGAAGUUUUUUCUUUAUCGCAUCCUUAUUCAAAUAUUGGAACGCCCACUCCAGAAGGUAAAACAGGAUAAAGG